This 431-nucleotide ribosomal RNA is filed under the name uncultured eukaryote. RNAcentral describes it as "bacterial SSU rRNA". It matches the Rfam family "Eukaryotic small subunit ribosomal RNA", at positions 202 to 625 of the family's 1831-position model. The record is from RNAcentral.
UGCAUAUAUUAGAUACAAAUACCAAAAAUACAAAGGUAGAAUCAUAAUAUUUAUAGCAAAUUAUACAGAGGAAGUAAUUCUUCUUGAUAAUAAACCGAUCAAAUUUCUGCCCUAUCAUACUUUUGGACGGUAAUGUAGUGGAUUACGGUGGUGAUGACGGGUAACGGAGAAUUAGGGUUUGAUUCCGGAGAGGGAGCAUGAGAAAUGGCUACCACUUCCAAGGAAGGCAGCAGGCGCGUAAAUUACCCAAUCCUAAAACAGGGAGGUAGUGACGAUAAAUAACAAUGAUUCAAUGAUAACAAAGUUGAAUUAAUUGGAAUGAGAACAAUAUAAAUCCCUUAUCGAGUAACAAUUUCAGGGCAAGUUCUGGUGCCAGCAGCCGCGGUAAUUCCAGCUGAAAAAGCGUAUACGAAUAUUGUUGCAGUUAAAAC